This 471-nucleotide ribosomal RNA is filed under the name uncultured bacterium. Its description in RNAcentral is "bacterial SSU rRNA". It matches the Rfam family "Bacterial small subunit ribosomal RNA", at positions 29 to 519 of the family's 1533-position model. The record is from RNAcentral.
AACGAACGCUGGCGGCAUGCCUAACACAUGCAAGUCGAACGAAGCCUUCGGGCUUAGUGGCGCACGGGUGCGUAACGCGUGGGAAUCUGCCCUUGGGUUCGGAAUAACAGUUAGAAAUGACUGCUAAUACCGAAUGAUGUCUUCGGACCAAAGAUUUAUCGCCCAAGGAUGAGCCCGCGUCGGAUUAGCUAGUUGGUGAGGUAAAGGCUCACCAAGGCGACGAUCCGUAGCUGGUCUGAGAGGAUGAUCAGCCACACUGGGACUGAGACACGGCCCAGACUCCUACGGGAGGCAGCAGUGGGGAAUAUUGGACAAUGGGCGAAAGCCUGAUCCAGCAAUGCCGCGUGAGUGAAGAAGGCCUCGGGUUGUAAAGGCUCUUUGUUCUAGGGAAGAAAAGGACUGUGGCUAAUAUCCACAGCUGCUGACGGUACCUGAAGAAUAAGCACGGCUAACUACGUGCCAGCAGCCGCG